This 562-nucleotide ribosomal RNA is filed under the name uncultured Methanomicrobiales archaeon. Its description in RNAcentral is "bacterial SSU rRNA". It matches the Rfam family "Archaeal small subunit ribosomal RNA", at positions 339 to 901 of the family's 1478-position model. Lineage: Archaea; Methanobacteriati; Methanobacteriota; Methanomicrobia; Methanomicrobiales. The record is from RNAcentral.
GCGCGAAACCUCCGCAAUGCGAGCAAUCGCGACGGGGGGACCCCAAGUGCCACUCUUAACGGGGUGGCUUUUCUGAAGUGUAAAAAGCUUUAGGAAUAAGGGCUGGGCAAGACCGGUGCCAGCCGCCGCGGUAAUACCGGCGGCUCGAGUGGUGGCCACUAUUACUGGGCUUAAAGCGUUCGUAGCUGGUUUGUUAAGUCUCUGGGGAAAUCUUCCGGCUCAACCGGAAGGCGUCUCAGGGAUACUGGCAGACUAGGGACCGGAAGAGGUGAGAGGUACUCCAGGGGUAGGAGUGAAAUCCUGUAAUCCUUGGGGGACCACCUGUGGCGAAGGCGUCUCACCAGGACGGCUCCGACAGUGAGGGACGAAAGCUGGGGGAGCAAACCGGAUUAGAUACCCGGGUAGUCCCAGCCGUAAACGAUGUGCGUUAGGUGUAUCGGUGACCACGAGUCACCGAGGUGCCGAAGAGAAAUCGUGAAACGUACCGCCUGGGAAGUACGGUCGCAAGGCUAGAAACUUAAAGGAAUUGGCGGGGAGCACCACAACAGGUGGAGCCGUGUAC